GAGUUCGUUGGUUUCUUUCGCUCCUCGCGCCGUCGUCGGGCCGCCUCGCGCGGUCCGUGCGGCGGGCACGGGGCGGAUCAUCUCGGAUCCGGAGUACAUGAUUGAUAGGGACGGUCGGGGCCGCUUGCACCGGGUCGCGAGGGGUGAAAUCCUAGGACCGAUCCGAGGCAAACAGGUGCGAAGGCGUUCGGCAAGGACGUUUUCAUUAAUCAAGAACGAAAGUUGGGGGAUCGAAGACGAUCAGAUACCGUCGUAGUCCCGACCGUAAACGAUGCCGACCGAGGGCCCGGAAACGUUACUCGUCGUACGACUCUGCGGGCCCUCCUCGUCGAGAAAUCGGGAGUAUUCGGGUUCCGGGGGGAGUACGGUCGCAAGUCUGAAACUUAAAGGAAUUGACGGAAGGGCACCACCAGGAGUGGAGCCUGCGGCUUAAUUUGACUCAACGCGGGGAAACUCACCGGGUCCGGACACGGUAAGGAUUGACAGAUUGACGGAUCUUUCUCGAUUCCGUGGAAAGUGGUGCAUGGCCGUUUCUAGUUGGUGGAUCGAUCCGUCUGGUUUAUUCCGUUAACGAACGAGACCUCGACCUGCCGAAUAGUUCGGUCCACGUGGCCCUCGGACGUACCCGUCCUCGCGGCGGUGCGUUCCCGGGCGGUCGUCGUUGGGCUACCGGACGUUGACACGUACGGCCUCCCGUUCCCGGAGGUCGCGUCCCGUGGCGUGUCCCCUCGGGGGCACGUGAAGGGGCGCGGUCCGACGGGUGCGUGGGGGGAAGGGCGCGGUCCGACGGGUGCGUGGGGGGAACUUCUCGGAGGGACACUCCGCGCUCCCAAGCGGACGGAGGUGAGGCGAAAACAGGUCUGUGAUGCCCUUAGAUGUUCCGGGCUGCACGCGCGUUACAGUGACGUACUCAACGAGCUUCCCGGCCCGAAGGGGUCCGUCGGGGAAUCGUCGGAGCUUGCGUCGCGGUGGGGAUAGAUCAUUGAAACUAUUGUUCUCGAACUAGGAAUUCCUCGUAGGCGCGGGUCAUCAACCCGCGCCGAUUACGUCCCUGCCCUUUGUACACACCGCCCGUCGCUCCUACCGAUCGAACGGUCCGGCGAGGACUUGGGACGGGCCGGCUACCCCGUGCGG
This 1134-nucleotide ribosomal RNA is filed under the name Difflugia mulanensis. Its description in RNAcentral is "partial small subunit ribosomal RNA". It matches the Rfam family "Eukaryotic small subunit ribosomal RNA", at positions 823 to 1736 of the family's 1831-position model. The record is from RNAcentral. Lineage: Eukaryota; Tubulinea; Elardia; Arcellinida; Difflugiidae.